Molecule: ribosomal RNA, 997 nt
Filed under: uncultured bacterium
Lineage: Bacteria
Description: bacterial SSU rRNA
Rfam family: Bacterial small subunit ribosomal RNA
Source: RNAcentral
GGGGAAUAUUGCACAAUGGGGGAAACCCUGAUGCAGCGACGCCGCGUGAGGGAAGACGGUCCUCUGGAUUGUAAACCUCUGUCUUCGGGGACGAAACGAGACGGUACCCGAGGAGGAAGCCACGGCUAACUACGUGCCAGCAGCCGCGGUAAUACGUAGGUGGCAAGCGUUGUCCGGAAUUACUGGGUGUAAAGGGAGCGUAGGCGGGCAGGCAAGUCAGGCGUGAAAUAUAUCGGCUCAACCGGUAACGGCGCUUGAAACUGCAGGUCUUGAGUGAAGUAGAGGUUGGCGGAAUUCCUAGUGUAGCGGUGAAAUGCGUAGAUAUUAGGAGGAACACCAGUGGCGAAGGCGGCCAACUGGGCUUUUACUGACGCUGAGGCUCGAAAGUGUGGGGAGCAAACAGGAUUAGAUACCCUGGUAGUCCACACCGUAAACGAUGAUUACUAGGUGUGGGGGGACUGACCCCUUCCGUGCCGGAGUUAACACAAUAAGUAAUCCACCUGGGGAGUACGGCCGCAAGGUUGAAACUCAAAGGAAUUGACGGGGGCCCGCACAAGCAGUGGAGUAUGUGGUUUAAUUCGACGCAACGCGAAGAACCUUACCAGGUCUUGACAUCGUAUGCAUAGUGUAGAGAUACAUGAAGUCCUUCGGGACAUACAGACAGGUGGUGCAUGGUUGUCGUCAGCUCGUGUCGUGAGAUGUUGGGUUAAGUCCCGCAACGAGCGCAACCCUUGUAUUUAGUUGCUACGCAAGAGCACUCUAGAUAGACUGCCGUGGACAACACGGAGGAAGGUGGGGAUGACGUCAAAUCAUCAUGCCCCUUAUGACCUGGGCUACACACGUACUACAAUGGCAAUGGAACAGAGGGAAGCGACUCAGCGAUGAGAAGCAGAUCCCGAAAAAUUGUCUCAGUUCGGAUUGCAGGCUGCAACCCGCCUGCAUGAAGUCGGAAUUGCUAGUAAUCGCGGAUCAGCAUGCCGCGGUGAAUACGUUCCCG